GGAUGAAUAUAGACUACUGGAGGUGAAAAGGGAUGAGUAUAGACUACUGGAGGUGAAAAGGGAUGAGUAUAGGCUACUGGAGGUGAAAAGGGAUGAGUAUAGGCUACUGGAGGUGAAAAGGGAUGAAUAUAGGCUACUGGAGGUGAAAAGGGAUGAGCAUAGGCUACUGGAGGUGAAAAGGGAUGAAUAUAGGCUACUGGAGCCAAAAAGGGA
Molecule: long non-coding RNA, 213 nt
Organism: Haliotis rubra (blacklip abalone)
Lineage: Eukaryota; Metazoa; Mollusca; Gastropoda; Lepetellida; Haliotidae
Exons: 3
Source: RefSeq, a predicted model, not a curated record